GAUGAACGCUGGCGGCGUGCCUAAUACAUGCAAGUCGAGCGAACAGACGAGGAGCUUGCUCCUCUGACGUUAGCGGCGGACGGGUGAGUAACACGUGGAUAACCUACCUAUAAGACUGGGAUAACUUCGGGACACCGGAGCUAAUACCGGAUAAUAUAUUGAACCGCAUGGUUCAAUAGUGAAAGACGGCUUUGCUGUCACUUAUAGAUGGAUCCGCGCCGCAUUAGCUAGUUGGUAAGGUAACGGCUUACCAAGGCGACGAUGCGUAGCCGACCUGAGAGAGUGAUCGGCCACACUGGAGCUGAGACACGGUCCAGACUCCUACGAGAGGCAGCAGUAGGGAAUCUUCCGCAAUGGGCGAAAGCCUGACGGAGCAACGCCGCGUGAGUGAUGAAGGUCUUCGGAUCGUAAAACUCUGUUAUUAGGGAAGAACAAAUGUGUAAGUAAAUAUGCACGUCUCGACGGUACCUAAUCAGAAAGCCACGGCUAACUACGUG
Molecule: ribosomal RNA, 497 nt
Filed under: uncultured bacterium
Lineage: Bacteria
Description: partial 16S ribosomal RNA
Rfam family: Bacterial small subunit ribosomal RNA
Source: RNAcentral